RNAcentral lists this ribosomal RNA (250 nucleotides) under uncultured bacterium. Its description in RNAcentral is "partial 16S ribosomal RNA". It matches the Rfam family "Bacterial small subunit ribosomal RNA", at positions 524 to 773 of the family's 1533-position model. The record is from RNAcentral.
UACGUAGGGUGCUAGCGUUAUUCGGAUUUAUUGGGCGUAAAGCGCAUGUAGGCGGUUCGGUAAGUCUGGUGUGAAAGCCCUCGACUCAAUCGAGGAAGUGCAUUGGAUACUGUCGAACUGGAGUGCAGGAGGGGUGAGCGGAAUUCCAGGUGUAGAGGUGAAAUUCGUAGAUAUCUGGAGGAACAACAGCGGCGAAGGCGGCUCACUGGACUGUAACUGACGCUCAGAUGCGAUAGUGUGGGGAGCAAAC